This 649-nucleotide ribosomal RNA is filed under the name Candidozyma auris. RNAcentral describes it as "eukaryotic LSU rRNA". It matches the Rfam family "Eukaryotic large subunit ribosomal RNA", at positions 62 to 780 of the family's 3401-position model. The record is from RNAcentral. Lineage: Eukaryota; Fungi; Ascomycota; Pichiomycetes; Serinales; Metschnikowiaceae.
AAACAAACAGGGAUUGCCUCAGUAACGGCGAGUGAAAGCGGCAAGAGCUCAACUUUGGAAUCGCUCCGGCGAGUUGUAGUCUGGAGGUGGCCACCACGAGGUGUUCUAGCAGCAGGCAAGUCCUUUGGAACAAGGCGCCAGCGAGGGUGACAGCCCCGUACCUGCUUUUGCUAGUGCUUCCUGUGGCCCACCGACGAGUCGAGUUGUUUGGGAAUGCAGCUCUAAGUGGGUGGUAAAUUCCAUCUAAGGCUAAAUAUUGGCGAGAGACCGAUAGCGAACAAGUACAGUGAUGGAAAGAUGAAAAGCACUUUGAAAAGAGAGUGAAACAGUACGUGAAAUUGUUGAAAGGGAAGGGCUUGCACCCAGACACGGUUUCGGCCGGGCCAGCAUCAAGUAGAACGGGGUUAAAAGACCUGGGGAAUGUAGCUACCUCUUGGUAGUGUUAUAGCCCUUGGGUGAUGACCCCUGUUUUGCUUGAGGACAGCGGUCUCUAGGAUGCUGGCGCAAUGGUUGCAAGCCACCCGUCUUGAAACACGGACCAAGGAGUCUAACGUCUAUGCGAGUGUACGGGUGAAAAACCCCUGCGCGGAAUGAAAGUAAGAGGUUGGAACCCUCUCGGGGGUGCACAAUCGACCGACCCAGAAGUGCU